This 1485-nucleotide ribosomal RNA is filed under the name Plasmodium sp. Its description in RNAcentral is "SSU rRNA". It matches the Rfam family "Eukaryotic small subunit ribosomal RNA", at positions 162 to 1439 of the family's 1831-position model. The record is from RNAcentral. Lineage: Eukaryota; Apicomplexa; Aconoidasida; Haemosporida; Plasmodiidae.
AGCUAAUACUUGCUUUAGCACUCUUGAUUAAGUUCUUGAGUGUGUACUUGUUAAGCCUUUUAAGAAAAAAGUUAUUAACUUAAGGAAUUAUAACAAAGAAGUAACACGUAAUGGAUCCGUCCAUUUUUAGUGUGUAUCAAUCGAGUUUCUGACCUAUCAGCUUUUGAUGUUAGGGUAUUGGCCUAACAUGGCUAUGACGGGUAACGGGGAAUUAGAGUUCGAUUCCGGAGAGGGAGCCUGAGAAAUAGCUACCACAUCUAAGGAAGGCAGCAGGCGCGUAAAUUACCCAAUUCUAAAGAAGAGAGGUAGUGACAAGAAAUAACAAUACAAGGCCAAUCUGGCUUUGUAAUUGGAAUGAUGGGAAUUUAAAACCUUCCCAAAACUCAAUUGGAGGGCAAGUCUGGUGCCAGCAGCCGCGGUAAUUCCAGCUCCAAUAGCGUAUAUUAAAAUUGUUGCAGUUAAAACGCUCGUAGUUGAAUUUCAAAGAAUCGAUAUUUUAAGCAACGCUUUUAGCUUAAUCCACAUAACUGAUACUACGUAUCGACUUUGUGCGCAUUUUGCUAUUAUGUGUUCUUUUAAUUAAAAUGAUUCUUUUUAAGGUCUUUCUCUUGCUUCGGCAUUUGAAGAUCUUGUUACUUUGAGUAAAUUAGAGUGUUCAAAGCAAACAGAUAUAGCAUUGCGCGUUUGAAUACUACAGCAUGGAAUAACAAAAUUGAACAAGUCAGAAUUUUGUUCUUUUUUCUUAUUUUGGCUUAGUUACGAUUAAUAGGAGUAGCUUGGGGGCAUUUGUAUUCAGAUGUCAGAGGUGAAAUUCUUAGAUUUUCUGGAGACAAACAACUGCGAAAGCAUUUGCCUAAAAUACUUCCAUUAAUCAAGAACGAAAGUUAAGGGAGUGAAGACGAUCAGAUACCGUUGUAAUCUUAACCAUAAACUAUGCCGGCUAGGCUUUGGAUGAAAGAUUUUAAAAUAAGAGUUUUUUCUCUGAGGAGUUAAAACUCUUAGAUUGCUUCCUUCAGUGCCUUAUGAGAAAUCAAAGUCUUUGGGUUCUGGGGCGAGUAUUCGCGCAAGCGAGAAAGUUAAAAGAAUUGACGGAAGGGCACCGCCAGGCGUGGAGCUUGCGGCUUAAUUUGACUCAACACGGGAAAACUCACUAGUUUAAGACAAGAGUAGGAUUGACAGAUUAAUAGCUCUUUCUUGAUUUCUUGGAUGGUGAUGCAUGGCCGUUUUUAGUUCGUGAAUAUGAUUUGUCUGGUUAAUUCCGAUAACGAACGAGAUCUUAACCUGCUAAUUAGCGGCAAAUACGAUAUAUUCUUAUGUGGAAUUGAAUAUAGUUGAUUUGCUUAUUUUGAAGGAAAUAUUGGGAUGCGUAAAGUGUCCCUUUCCCUUUUCUACUUAAUUCGCUUAUCAUACUGUUUCUUUUUUGCGUAAGAAUGUAUUUGCUUGAUUGUAAAGCUUCUUAGAGGAACGAUGUGUGCCUAACACAAG